RNAcentral lists this ribosomal RNA (482 nucleotides) under uncultured Tylospora. RNAcentral's name for it is "eukaryotic LSU rRNA". The stretch from base 130 to 284 matches the Rfam family "5.8S ribosomal RNA". The record is from RNAcentral. Lineage: Eukaryota; Fungi; Basidiomycota; Agaricomycetes; Atheliales; Atheliaceae.
GGGGCAUGUGCACACCCGAGCCAUCCCCAACAAACACCGUGGGCCUUCGGGCCCGCGUAUAUUUACUCUGAAUGUGUAUAGAAUGUAAACCAUUUGUUUGCCCUGAAAAAGCAAACGAAAAAAAAGUACAACUUUCAACAACGGAUCUCUUGGCUCUCGCAUCGAUGAAGAACGCAGCGAAAUGCGAUAAGUAAUGUGAAUUGCAGAUUUUCAGUGAAUCAUCGAAUCUUUGAACGCACCUUGCGCCCCUUGGUAUUCCGAGGGGCAUGCCUGUUUGAGUGUCAUUAAAUCCUCAACCGCGCCGAUUGAUUUCGGUGGGGCUUGGACUUUGGAGCGUGCUGGCGAAGGUCGGCUCCUCUUUAAAUGCAUCAGCGGAAGAAACCUUUGUCUUUCCUGCCUUCGGUGUGAUAAUCGUGUUGCGCCGUGGUGGAACUUCAACGAUCCGCUUACAAUGGUCUUCGGACGAAACCUCAUGUCAUCUG